Actinia tenebrosa (Australian red waratah sea anemone) is the source of this 546-nucleotide long non-coding RNA. RefSeq lists it as uncharacterized. The record is from RefSeq and is a predicted model, not a curated record. NCBI's taxonomy places the organism in Eukaryota, Metazoa, Cnidaria, Anthozoa, Actiniaria, Actiniidae.
CCGUCGUACAGCUAACUGUAGUACUAUUCUAAGACAAGUGAACUAGAAACUUGGCAAAAACAGCCCAAACAUGAAUCGCUUCAUUCUAGUCCUGGUAGCUUUGCUGUUCGUCUCUGCUACCCAAGGAAAGCCAUUCAAGCCAGUCGUACCCUCCCCAACCUAUCCACCAACCCCUCCACGUCGAUUGGGUUGCUAUUACGAGGGCAAAUGGUACGCUCCUGGCUCACAAAUAUUUCAUAGGGAAUCUGGGGGUUAUUAUGAAGCUAAAGGAUGUUCUGAAGGCGGUCAUAUUUGGCAUAUAGUAUCUUAGACUUUCAAGACUGUAUCGAUAUAGUAAAUACCAAUGAACACUGUUUCUCUUUCCAAACAAUAAAUAAAUGAUAAACGAAUUUGUCAGUUAAGUUAUCAUGGACUCAAAGAUAGAUAUCCUUGCUUAAGUAAUUGUAAACUGCAUAGAAUAUCUUAACUGAAGCCUGUUUUUGUUAAUUAAGAUAGAAGCCGAAGGUCUAAUUUGCAUGGAACUAUUAAAAUCAAGAGCCAAAUGAA